This is a long non-coding RNA of Astatotilapia calliptera (eastern happy), 658 nucleotides long. Lineage: Eukaryota; Metazoa; Chordata; Actinopteri; Cichliformes; Cichlidae. The record is from Ensembl.
GGAAUGGAACUGUGGUUAAUCAGUUAAGUCAUGGUGAAGGGAAAGGGGCGGUUCUUCGUUUUUUGAGAAAUACUGGUCUCCUCAAGAGGAUCUGAGGAUUCGGAAGUGAAGUAAGAAUAAAAGCCAGGAGAUGGCAGUAGUGCAACAUCUUUGGAUCUAAGCUGCCGUUAAACAUGAAAGAAGAAGAAGCGGUUUAAGAAGAUGUUCUUUAUAAGAGUAAGAACAGAAUGUUACAGUAGAGUCAUACAUGGAGCUAUCAGCAGAUGAGGUGGAGGAAAGCCCAACAUUAAGGAACGAAGAUGACAGCACAGACGAGGACACCAAAGCUUCCGAGGAGCAUCAGAAGGGUCAAAAGGAAGACAAUGGACUGCUUAUGGAUUAUGGAUUAUGGACCGCUUACUCUUCCUUAACUUCAUAAAUUAUUUGAUUUAAAAGAAAGGACACGAUCCAUCGAAGUGACUGGACAAUACAUCUGGUUUUGAUAAGGUUCUAAAAGGAUUUAAUUGCAACCUCAGAUAGCAACAAAUAUUGCAGCCGGACUUGUAUAACAAAAAUUUAGACAAAAUGCAAAAGCAUUGUAAAAAAGGCAAGUACUGUACACCCCAUCAUUCUUUAGCAGGAAUUAAGUAAUAAUGUCCUGAAUGACUUUAUCAGUCCC